RNAcentral lists this small RNA (735 nucleotides) under Mycoplasmoides pneumoniae M129. Its description in RNAcentral is "Mycoplasma pneumoniae M129 ncRNA". Lineage: Bacteria; Bacillati; Mycoplasmatota; Mycoplasmoidales; Mycoplasmoidaceae. The record is from RNAcentral.
AACAAAUGCAGUCCAAUGUAACCCUGAGACAUUGCCCCACUUUCAGCAAAUGGUACAGUGGGUGUAUUAGGGUUGACUUGUUUGGCCGCACUAAAGGCGUUGUAGAUCAUGCCAACCUGUGGACCGUUACCAUGACCCAAUAAUAUCUGAUAACCCUGCUUUAAUAAAGCAACCGCCUGUCGUGCUGGUAGUUGUACCAAGUCCUUUUGUUCGGUGGGAUUGUUACCUAAUGCAUUACCACCCAAUGCUAUGACAAUUUUUUGCAUCUUUAAUACCCUAAAGUAGCUAAAAUAACGGCCUUAAUCGUGUGCAAGCGGUUUUCUGCUUGGAUAAAGGCCAUGUUAUGCUUGGACUGAAACACCGUAUCAGUCACUUCCAUCGCACCCGUUUUCACCACCGGAUAUUUUUUACCUAACUUUUGUUUAAUUUCCAGUGAAAAGCUAGUGUGAUCAUCAUGGAAAGCGGGGAGACAGUGCAAGAAGAUCACAUCACUCUUAGCUGCUUUGAUCAUAGCCAUGUCAACUUGAAAUUGACCCAGCUCCUGAAUCCGUUCUUCAAAUAAGCUAAAGUCUUCACCCAACGACAGUCACACAUCGGUGUAAAUUACAUCAGCAUUCUUAGCCGCUUGCAGCUUAUCAGUGCUAAAGCUAACACUACCACCAUUGAGUUGAAACAAUGCUUGACACUGCUCAAAGACCUCUUUAUACCCAGCACCAUUUUGAACUAAUUCAUGCU